GCUCAAAGAUUUGCCGGAUUAAUCAGGUAAGGGGGGUUUAUCGUCGUUUAAUGGGUAUUAUGGGUUAGCAUGUAAUGGGUAGUGAUAAGCCGUUGAAUUGACCCUAAUUGGGAUUAUGAAUGCUGGAAAAUUAUGUUGGAUAAACUGUGUUUAGGCUGUAAUUGAAUCUGUGUUUGGGUUAGUUGUGAAUUUCCGAACGUAUAGCUUUUUACGGAAUUGGAAUCGGAGGUCCGGAAGUCCUCCAACGGCGGAAAAUGCGGAGAAUUCUGCAUUCUGCUUUGUGUUAGCGCAAUAACUGCUGUUUUGUCUGCGUUAACCGGUUAACCCAGGGUGUUAACCGGUUAACACUGUUGUGAUUGCUGAGAUAUUGCUGUUCUGUCUGCGUUAACCGGUUAACCCAGGGUGUUAACCGGUUAACACUGUUAAGUUUUGGGCAGGAAGCGUGUUUGUGCUGCGUUAACCGGUUAACCCAGGGCGUUAACCGGUUAACACUGUUGCAGAGUGGAAAAAUUGUUAAUUAAAAUGUUGUGUGCCUAAUUGAUGGUUGCCUAUAUCGGUGUGUGAUAUAGUAGGGAUUAUUUCCCGCUGUUUUGAGCAGUAUAGGUAUUAGUAGAGUGUGCUAAUACUGUGUUUAAUUAUUUGACAUGAUAUGAUGUGUUGAUACAUGUGUUGAUAAUGUAUGAUGGUAUGCAUAAUGUUGUGAAUGUGUAUGUUAUGCAUGUGUUGUGAAUGGACUGUUUUAUGGCUUAGAGAGUGAGCAUCGGUCCAUUGUGGAUUAUUGUUGUGAUGUUGCAUUGCUAGGUGAUUAGCGUGCAUAAUGUGGCCUUUAUGGUGGUAGCUAAUUCCCAUGGUGAGGAAUUAGUGAUGUUAGUCAUUUGGACUGUUUUUGAUGUUUGCAUGCUAGGUGAAUUAGCGUGCAUAGCAUGGCCCUUGGGGUGGUAGCUAAUUCCCAUGGUGAGGAAUUAGUGAUGUGAGUCACUAGGUCUCAAAUGAGUGGGACUGGUGAGCUUGGUAGCCGUACCUGGAUUUGGUCGGUGAAGUUGAACUAUAUGUUCACGAAUAGUCGGUACCGCAUGCAUGGAGUCUCAUUGCAUAAUAUAUGUGUAGUGUAUAAUAUGAAUGGAUGUAUUCCAAUGUUAUACGUGUGUUGUGUUGGCAUUGAGCAUGAGUAUGAAUUGUGUUGAUAUUGAGUAUGAUAUUUGAGUUGAUGUGCCGUUACUGAAUGUGUGAUACGAUUAGGGUGAUUAAUGUGUUAAAUUACUUAACAUGACAUUAUAUUCUAUAAUGCUUAUUAUAUCGAUUGAGGAACUCACCCUUACAACUAUUUUUCAGGUAACGAGCAGUGAUUGAGUAGAAGCUAAUGCUUGGAGUCUAGUGUAGUCUCCUUAGUGGGUCAUGCUCUGAUAGAUGUAACAUCGGGAGGGAACAUUUUUAAUUGUGUUAUUGAUGUUUGUUGAACCAGUUUACAUGUAGUAUGUUACAUGUUUUGAAUGAUCGAUUUGAUCUCUAUCCGCUGCGUAUUGUGCAAUACUUUAUGUUUUGAGUUAAAUAAUGAGCAUGACUAAAUAGUAUGACGAAUGGUGCGAAAUAAAAU
RNAcentral lists this long non-coding RNA (1594 nucleotides) under Lathyrus oleraceus (garden pea). Its description in RNAcentral is "Pisum sativum (pea) long non-coding RNA (PSAT_LNC037427)". Lineage: Eukaryota; Viridiplantae; Streptophyta; Magnoliopsida; Fabales; Fabaceae. The record is from RNAcentral.